UACAACCCCAUGGACGGUAGCCCACCAGGCUCAUCUGUCCAUAGGGUUUCCCAGACAAGAAUACUGAGUGGGUUGUCAUUUCCUCCUCCAGGGACUCUUUCCAACCCAAGGAUCGAACUCUCACCUCUUGCAGCUCCUGCACUGGCAGGCAGAUUCGUUACUACCGGAGCGGGGCCCAGCAUUGGUGAUCAAAAGUCAUUUUGUUACUGAGGUCAAAGGACGGAGCUGAAAGGUGGAGGGAGAGUGAGUGGUGAGCGGAGUCAGAGCCUUUCAGAAGGCGCAGAGAGGCGCUCAAAGCCGGGCAGCCACAGCGUCUGAAGACUUUGUGGAAUGCAGGUCCCCAAAGCAGCACCCCUGGGGACCGCAACUCUCCACCCCAAGGGAAUACCCAGGCAAACUGCAAGCCUGAGGAAAGCUUUCCCUUUAAUGUAUGGAUGUGAUUGGUCCCUCAGUUACGUCAGACUCUUUGCGACUCUGUGAACUGUAGCCCGGCAGGCUCCUCUGUCCCUGGGAUUCUCCAGGCAAGAAUUCCGAGUGGGUUGCCAUUUCCUGCCCCAGGGGAUCUUCCUGACCCAGGGAUCGAAGCCCAGUCUCUUGUAUCCACUGCCUCGGCAAGCGGAUUCUUUGAGGAACUGCUCUGUACCUGUGGGGAGCCAGUGAAACUCUUCAACUAGGAAAAGCAUGAGGUCAUGGGUCCCAAUCCCCUGAGGCAUGGUUUGCUUCCUUCGCUUCUGAGGCCAAGGACUCUGACCAGAGGGGCUGCUGGGAAAGUAAUGUCAUCUAUUCCCCCAUCAAUCUCCCCAGGUAAAUGUCAGUGUUAGUACGAAGGGAAAUAGUGGUGGCCACUUGAGAAACCACUGCAGCGGGGCCAUGUGGGUGAAGUCAUGCUGUCUGAGUCACCAACACUGCUCUUUAACUUAUUUUGGAAUCUUUGGUUUGUGGUGUGGGGGUGGAUUAAUUGGCAGAAAUUACAGAAGUAGCUAUUACUCCAUCUUGAUUUGGGGAGUCUGUGCACAGACUUAAACUCUUGUUUUACUUUUGAGUUUGUGCCUUAUUCAUAUACAUUUUUUAAAAAGAAAAGAUUCUUUUUAUGUAAUGGGAUGAAGCUCACAUCCAAUGUCAGUAGUCCCAGGAAUGCCUGAAGUGGUUUUGUCAUCAGAAUAUAAAAAUUGAACUCUCCUCCCAAUAUAAGCAGACUGUGGCUUGAUAAAUACUGUGAAAGUAGAACAUGGAAAAAAGAAAAAGUAAGAAAUCCAGUUCAGGCAACUAUUAAGAGCAUCACAAUUCUAACCACUGCCAAUGAAAAACCCAUGAGAAAUAAGUCUGAAAAGGCCAGAAUUUCCCAAAUCGAAGAACCUUCUCCAGGAUUCUCGUUUUGUUUAUUUUCAGUCUGGCUACAUUGGACUAUGGCCUCAGCUGGUAAAGAAUUGCCUGCAAUGCAGGAGACCUGGGUUCGAUCCCUGAGUUGGGAAGAUCCCCUGGAGAAGGGAAAGGCUACCCAUUCCAGUAUUCUGGUCUGAGAAUUCCAUGGACUGUGUAGUCUGUGGGGUUGCAAAGAGUCAGACACGACUGAGUGACUUUCAUCUCACUUGACAUCAGACUAUGAGAUACCUAGUACAUGUAUCUGUGGUUAAUUUCACACAUAAAAUACACACGCAAGCACUGCAUGUCGGAAAGGUGAGAAGAGAACCACAUGGAAGGUUCUAUUUGGAAACUGUUCAUUUAAAUGUACUUUAAAUUUUUCAGAUGAUAAAAAGUCCUAACCCAUUUGCAGUCUCACCCAAAACAUCUGGAAGCUUACAUGGAUUAUUUAAUAAUCCUAAAUUAGUAUGUGUUAAAUCGCUUCAGUCAUGUCCGCCUCUUUGUGACCCCGUGGACUAUAGCCCACGAGGCUCCUCUGUCCAUGGGAUUCUCCAGGCAAGAAUACUGGAGUGGGGACACCAUGCCCUUCUUCAGGGGAUCUUCCUGACCCAGGGAUUGAGCCCACAUCUCUUGUGUCUCUUGCCAAACAUAUCCCUUGCUCCUUGGAAGGUAAGCUAUGACAACCCUGGAUAGCAUAUUAAAAAGCAGAGACAUUACUUUGCCAACAAAGGGCCAUAUAGGACAACAACAACAACCACAACCAAACACGUGUGUACUCUGAAGAAGGAAACCCAGAAGAAAAUCAGAAAGAGAUAUCAACAGAGACACGCAAUUAGAAGUGACCAUUCUCGGGAGGGUUGGCACAGAGAAGCAACCAGAUGGUCUCUUUCAAGUGGAGCCAAAUAGAAUGGAACAGUAGAUGUUUUUUUCCUAUAAGAAUUUAUAGGGGGAAUAAACUCCAAACCCUCCAAGUGCCUAGGAAUAUUCAGAUCAACAAUUUCAUGUUCUUCAACAAGUUCCAAAUCACAAACCAAAGUUUUUAACUCGAUAUGGAGGGAACAAAAACUUUAACUGCUGUAGAGUUCCAAAGUGCUAGGGACAAAGAUCAAUGUCUUAUGUCCAAAGACUUUUGACUCACAUACAAGAUUUAGGUAAGUUAAUCAUGUAAGGUGAAAGUUAUGCUAUUUAGCCAAUCCCCACCCUCUACUUCUGACACCCUCUGCCCCCGCCAGUCUGAUGGGUUUCAUUUGAGAUCUUUUUCUAAUGUGUUUGCAAAAAUAUGACUGUAUAGUUGUUUUGUAUGUUUUCACAUAAAUGUUUUUAUGUGAAAAUUUUACAUAUUUUUCUAUAAUUUGUUUUUUUUUAACCUAUCAAACAUCUUGGAGAUUUUUCCUUACCAGUACAUAGAGAUUAACUCCAGUUUUUUCUUGUAUGAUUUUUUUUUCUUUUUAACUUUUUGGGGAAAAUUGUAGAUUCAUAAGAAAUUACGCCCCACCCCCUGCCAAAUUUUCAGGGAUAUCUGAAAGGCCACCCUUCACCCAGUCUCCACUAAUAGUCAUGUUUUAAUUUGCAUUUCACCAUCCUCUAUGUGUUUGUAGAUACUUCUGUGCAAUUUUAUUAUAUGUACAGAUUCACAUAAGCACAUUGCAUUUUUAAGAUGUUGUUUAAGAUGUUUAAGAUUUGAACAAGAGUUCAAAUAUACUCCUGGGAGUAUAUUUGUGUGUGUGUUUGUGUGUGUGUGUGUGUAAAUUGCUGAAGAAAGUAUUUUCAAAGUAGUUUUAAGGGUCUUAGAAGUUUGUCUUGUUAAAAAUAUUGGUUAGGGUGGUUAUCAAGAUUAAAGAUUUAGGAUAUUAAUCAUGUAUUGUCCUCUCUUGUUCUUCAAUUGUUUAUUAUUUGUGUGUAGCUGCAUAGAAAAAAUAAAUAGAGGGAUGGUUAGAUCUGAUUAGCUUUCCUUGCUAGACUAAAUCACCUUGGGAGGCUAGGCUAUAAUCUCAGAAACCUGUGAAAUUCACCAUGCCUUUGUAUGUCUGAUGCAUGCUUAACAGGCAUCCAAUAAAUGCCUGCUGGUUACUUAGGCUGGUUGAUUUUCUGGUUACCCUGCUUACCAGAGUGCCAGCUGAAUGAGCCAAGCUGCAUAUUUCCUUGUAGAAAUAUGCUCCUGGAAAACUCAAACAAAACAUUUGCUUAUGCCACUCCCAGUAUAAGAGUGAGUGAGUGCUAAGUCGCUUCAGUCAUGUCCAACUCUGUGUGACCCCAUUGACUAGCCCAGCAGGCUCCUCUUUGCAUGGAAUUCUCCAGGCUAGAAUACUGGAGUGACUUGCCAUUUCCUACUCCUGGGAUCUUGUCAACCCAGGGAUCGAACCUUCAUCUCAUGUCUUCUGCUUUGGCAGGCAGGUUCUUUACCACUAGCACCACCCAGGAGGCCUUGGCAAAAUAUCCUUGGAAAUAUUAUGAAAGCACCUGGAUACUACAGUGGUACGUUUUAUUGAGCCAGCUCAGAAGAUGGGUAGCUAUUUAGUUCCAAGCGCCAUCCAAGACAGUGGCAGUUUCCUACAUGACUUCUGGCAAAAUGUGUCAUGAAUAUUCAUGAAGCGAAAGAUCAGAAAAUACUCGCUGCUUGUUAGUUAUCCUGGGAUCCUCCUGGGAUGCAUAUGGUAAGGUUCAAGCAAGGCCACAUUCAUCUCACUUCUCUUCUUUUUCAGGACAUUAUUAUUAUAUUACAUAUUUUAAUUUCACUGAGGCAAAGUCAGCCAGAAAAAGAAACCAGAAUAUUAGCUCUUCAAUUGAUUGCAAUUUUAAAGGACAUUGCAAUGAUUAUUUCUUGCAAAAAAAAAAAAAAAAAAAACCUGUAAAUUGAUAAGAACAAUGUGACAUAGAAAAGAUGUCUUUCUCUGCCAACCCUGUUCUUCUUUUAAUAACAUGGAGCUCAAAUCCUGCUAUCUUCUUGAAAGCUUCUCUAACCAAAAUUCAAUUAUUGUGGAAUAGUCAAGAAUGUGGAAGCUGCCAUAAAAAAAUACCUGUCUGAACAUAAGGGUGCAUGUAUCUUUUUGAAUUAUAGUUUUUCCAGAUAUUUGCCCAGGAUAUGUACAAUAGAAUGUAAAGAGUGAAAGUGUUAGUCACUCAGCCAUGUCUGACUCUUUUGACCCAAUGGUCUGUCCAUGGAAUUCUCCAGGCAAGAAUACUGGAGUAGAUUGCCAUUCCCUUCUCCAGGGGAUCUGCUUGACUCAGGGACUGAACCUGGGUCUCCUGCAUCACAGGCAGAUUCUUUACCAUCUGAGCUACCAGGGAAGCCCACGGUGGAAUACUAUGCACCAAUUAAAAAGAACAAGACAGCGCUAUUUGCAACAACAUAGAUAGGCUUAUAGAUUAUCAUAUUAAGUGAAGUAAAUCAGAAAAAGAAAGACAAAUACCAUUUGAUAUCUGCAAUAUGUGGAAUCUAAAAUAUGACACAAGUGAAUCCAUCUACAAAAUCAAAAUAGACUCAUAGACAGAGAGAACAAACUUGUGGUUGCCAAGGGGAAGGGAGGGUGGGGAAGGGAUGAAUUGGGAGUUUGAAAUUAGCAGGUGCAACCUAAUACGUAGAGAAUGGACAAACAACAGGAUUCUACUGUAUUCAAUAUCCUGUAACAAGCCAUAAUGGAAAAGAAUAUUUUAAAAAAUAUAUAUGUAUGUAAUAUGAGGGCUUCCCGGAUGGCACUAAUGGUACAGAACCUACCUGCCAAUGCAGGAGAUAUAAGAGAUGCAGGUUUGAUUUCUGGGUCGGGAAAAUCCCCUGGAGGAGGGCAUGGUAACCCACUCCAGUAUUCUUGCCUGGAGAAUCCCAUGGACAGAGGAGCCUGGCAGGCUACAGUCCACAGAGUCACAAAGAAUUGGACACUACUGAAGGGCACACAAAUAUAAAAAAUGAUAUAACUGAAUCACUUUGCUGUACAGCAGAAACUAAUAUAACAUUGUAAAUCAACUGGCAAUCAAAAAAUUAAAAACAGGGACUCCCCUGGUGGUCCAGUGGUUAAGAAUUCACCCUGCAAUGCAAGGGACGAAGGUUUGAUGCUUUCACUGAUCAGCGCCCCAGACUUGAGAACUUCUGUCUCUGCUACUCCUUAAGCACUUAACCACAGACCGGCUAGAUUUAUUAUUUAGUUACUCAUGUUUGUUUCAUCUUCCAAAGAAACCUGCCAUCCUCUUGAGGACAAAAAUCAUGUCACAUACAACUCUCAGAACAUCUAGCUCAGUUCCUCCCCCUUAGUAAUAUUUCAGUAAGCACAUUUUCAAAAUAGCACUGUGUUACAUUCAUUGAGCACUGAUGAUAUGCCAGGAUAAUAUAUGCUAAAUGCUUUGACGCAUUUAUCCCAUUUAAUCUUUACAUUAACCAAAUGAGGCAGGCACUAUUAUUAGACCUAUUUGUUAGAUGUGGAAACAAAGUUACAAAAGUUAUAAACUUUGCCCCAAAUCACACAGCUGGUAAAAGGCAAAACCCAGACUGAAACUCCAGUCUGUCUGAUCCCAGACCCCCUGCUUCCCACCAUUUUUGGAUAUUGCUUCCCAAAUUAAAAGAAAACAAACAAACAUUUCUUGAUUAAUUAGAUGCUGAAUAGCUGGACAUGAAUGAACUCUUUGAACUCACUUGUAAUAUCUAGGUCACUUGGCAAUAACUAGAUAUUUACUAUCGUGGAUGUUGGAAUCUGAGAUUUAUUCAGUCAGCAGAAAAUUUUGCUAGGCAUGUGCCCCCGAGGACAGAUGAGUGAGACAAUGUCACCAAAACAAGUAAUUAUAAAACAACGCACAUCGGGUUUUAAUGACGGUUUGGAAAAAUGCUCAUGGAAACAUAGGAGACAAACUUAAUUUAAAAUAGUUCACCAUAGUGUCAGCAUUUUUAGGAUUUCUGCUAUGUACCCAGCACAGUGCUGAGCAGUUUAUACAUACUGAAUUCUCACCACCACUCAACAAGAAGUAGGCUUUAUUAUUCAUAUUUGCAAAGAAGUAAACUGAAGCCUGAAGUUGUCAAAUGGCUUGGCCAAGGUCACACAGCUAAUUAAUGGAGCAUAGAUUGACUCAUGUUUAGGUCUGAAAGACACCCAGGUCCAUGGUUGGUUCCAGCUACCCAUACUCUUAUGAACUAGGUUUUCUUCUGGGUUUUUGCACUAUCAAGAAACACCAAGGAAAGCAUAUAAAUAUAAAGGAGAAAAAAUAUAUAUAUAAAAGAGGUAUAGGUAUAUGAAGGAGGUUUCAGAUCUGUCUCUUUAAGGCACUUCGGCCAACAGAGUGAACCAACAGGGUCAUGGGGCUGAGUCAUUGUCUGAUUUGGAGAAUAGAUUAUUUCGAUAUUUCGCUUCUCGCUUUUUUUCCCCCCUCAGCUGGGGUUUGUAAUCUCUAUUGUUCUUUAGGCUGACACCAGGUUUUGUGCUUCCUGAUUUUGAUGAACAGUUUCUUGUCUAGUCCCCCUAUCUCUUUAGUAAGCACGGUCCUUUCUGUAUUUUUCCCCCACCCUCUUGUCACAUCAAAAAGAGAGAUUUGACAGUUGUUUGAUUUGCCAUUCUCAUGAUGAAGGUUUUAGAUCAAAGCCAGAGCACCAUCAGUCACAUUUAUAACACAUUUUAGGACGAGAAAAAAAUCAAGCAAAUGGGGGACAUUUUCAGGGGACCUUCAGGAGAUGCCUUGGGACAGCCUUACAGGAGGACCAAUUCUGGAGCCUGGUGGGUACGUCUUCCAUACCUACCUAGGGGAAUGACAAAGGAGGCCCAGGACUGUGCCACCAAAAAAGAAACAAAAGGGUCACUACUGAUGGAAGACCUUCUGGCAGCAUGAUACCAGUGCCUCAAACACAAGCCUGACUUUGGGCCCGGUAGUUUCAAUUUGAGGAGUCUAUUCUAAAGAAACAGACUUGUGUACUGCAAUCACCCUCGGUAUUUUUUUCAGUCGAGUUUUACUGAAACUUUGGAUGGCUAAGUUGAAGAUCUCUCUCGGUAAAUGACACACUGCACUUGAAAAUAUGUGGGUUAUUUUCAAAUAUCUUUUGAUAUUGAUUUCUAGCACAGUUCCACAGUGAUAAGAGAACAGACUCUGUAUGAUUUCAAUACGUUUAGACCAUGACAUUUUUGCACCUUGUUUUAUGUCCCUGGGGCUAUCUUCCAAUGUCUCCUAGCUUACAAUCUAUGGGAACUUGAAUAGAAUUUGUAUUCUACUGUUGUGUGAAAAUUGUGUAAAACUUAAUUAUGAUAAAUUGGUUCACAGAGCUUUUCAGGUCUACUAUAUCCUUCUACUUCUCUGUAUAUUUUUGAGAGUUUAGUAUUGAAACUCCAACUAAAAAUCUCAAUUUAUCAACUAAAAAAUUAUAUAGUAGAACUGUAUGUAACCUUGUUUUGUAUUUUCUAAGUCACCUGUAAAUGUUUUAUCAUAUUUUAAUAAUUUAAAAAAUAAAACAGAGUUGUGUAUAAUGAUUAACAUAUCAUCAAUAGGAAAAAAGGGAACAUAUUUAACAGUCUGACAAUGGAAAUUGUGUCAAUAAAUUAUGAUACAUCCAUACAGUGGAAUGCUUCACUGAGAACUUCAUGUCAUAAAAAAAUAUUUAAUGACACAGAAAAAUGUUUUCCAUAUAUUUUAAUCUUUAAUAAUAAGAUGUUUCAAGCAUAUACAAGGUAGCAAGACUAUUAUGACAAACCUACCAUCCAGCUUCAACAAUUACCUGCUGCUGCUGCUGCUAAGUCGCUUCAGUCGUGUCCGACUCUGUGUGACCCCAUAGACGGCAGCCCACCAGGCUCCCCCGUCCCUGGGAUUCUCCAGGCAAGAACACUGGAGUGGGUUGCCAUUUCCUUCUCCAAUGCAUGAAAGUGAAAAGUCAAAGUGAAGUCACUCAGUCAUAUCUGACUCUUUGCAACCCCAGGGACUGCAGCCUACCAGGCUCCUCCAUCCAUGGGAUAUUCCAGGCAAGAGUACUGGAGUGGGGUGCCAUUGCCUUCUCCAUAUAUGAAUAUAUGUAUGUAUUAAUAUAUAUGUGUAGAUACACACACACACACACACACACAUACAUGGGCUUCCCUGGUGGCUCAGUGGUAAAGAAUUCGCCUGCCAGUGCAGGAAACUUGGGUUCAUUCCCUGGGUUGGGAAGAUCUCCUGGAGAAGGAAAUGGCAACCCACUCCCAUAUUCUUGCUUGGGAAAUCCCAUGGGCAGAGAAGCCUGGCAGGCUUCAGUCUAUGGGGUCGCAAAAGAGUUGGACAUGACUGAAAGCCUGCACAGCAACAACAUGCACACACACACACGUGUGUAUGUCAUAUGUGUGUGUGUGUGUGUGCAGGUAUGUAUUAUAACUGAAUCAAUUUUCUGUAUACCUAAAAUACUGUGAGUUAACUAUACUUGAAUAAAAGAUAAUUUUACAAAGAAACCAGACUGUUGUGUGGAGUUUCUCCCUUCCUAGGCUUUGCUAACAACUUCCCUAUUAAACAUGUUUCUCUGUGUCCUGUAUUUCCUUGACUUGAGGUUUGAUUUUUGGCAAAAAACACUUUGUAAAUUUUCAUGGACUCGACUGUGCCCCUCAUCCCAAUUAGUUUGUUGAAGUCCUAGGCCCUAGUAGCUCAGAAUGUGACUGUAUUUGAGGAUGGGGGUCUUCAAAAAGGUCAUUAAGUUAAAAUGAGGUCAUAAGGAUGGGCCCUAAUCCACUGAGAAGUGUAAGAGAGGAGGAGAUUUUUUUUAUGUUGCAUUUCUUCAUUUUGGCCACGCUUGGCCUUCGUGGCCGUGUGAGGUCUUUCUCCUGUUGCGGCGCGCAGCCUCAUCAUUGCAGUGGCUUCUCCAAUUGUGUAGCGCGGGCUCUAGGGCAAGCUUCAGUAGUUGCCCCGAGGCAUGCGAGAUCUUAGUUCCCUGACCAGGGAUGGAACCUGGAACCUAUAUCCUCCGCACUGGCAGGCAGAUAAGAAGAAGAAAUUUAGGCUCGGACUCAGUACAGUGGAAAGACCAUGUGAAGACAGAGCAGAAGAGGACCAUUGUAAGCCAUGGAAAAAGGACUCAGCAGAAACCAACUCAGCCGCCACCUUAAACUUGGGCCUCCAGGCUGCAGGAGUAAAGUAAACCUCUUGAGAAAGUAAACCUCUGUUUUUUUAAGCCACGCAGUCUGUGGCACUGAAUUACUGCAGGCCUGGAAAAACUGAUACAUAGAUGUGCCUCUUUUGUCAGAAGGCACACAACCCAUUCUUGAGUAGGGAAUUCUGUGAUGGAGAGGAAAAAAAUAUUACAAACCGUAAAUCUUGUUUUUAAUCUACACAGUAAGAAUGGCUACCUGUUUCAGAACAAAUUAUGUGCCAGGCACUGUACUCUAAACACUUCAUUUUAUUACUUGACUUUACAAUCAGACCCACAGGUAGGUAUUAUUGUUGCCAUUUACAGAUAUUGAGACGAAUUCAGAGAGAUUCAGACACCAACCCCAGAACACACAGCUGGUUAAGUGGCAGAGAUGGGUCUAACCUGGGCCCCUUGUGUGCCAUGUAGAUGAUCACUGAGAAAUUAGAUGCUGUCAAACAGAGCUGUGGGACAAGCCCGAACUGCCAAGCUCAAACUGGAGAAGAAAGCAGCCCAAGGAGACAUGGUACUCCCAGUGAGAAGAAAAGGGCCACUUCUCAGGCCCUUGGCAUCUGAGGUCCCGACCCUGAUUUUCACAGCUCACGCUGCAGUGGCCCAGCUCUCCGAUGGCCGCUGCUACACUAACCGUGACAGUCAUUCCUCCUGGGUCGACAUGGAAAAUCACCCUGGCAUCAUCUUGCAUAGACUGCCUGCCUCUUCCCUCACCCCCCUCAGCCCACUAACAACCCUAAACUCCACAUGCACGCUCACAGCUGUUUUGUUCUAUUUUCACUGGCUUUGGAUCACAUUUCAAUUCAGAAUUAAGGAGCAGUGAGUAGGAGGCAGUACAGUAUUAAGGUUGAAAGCAUGGGCUUUGGGGAAAAAAAAACACAACAGAUCUGGGUUGGGGUACCUGAUCUAUCCCUUUUACCUUGGCCACUUUAAGUGAGAGCCUUAUUUCCUCUUAGCCUCAGUUUCCUCAUCUUUAAAAUAAGAUUAAUUAUAAUACCUACUUCACAAGGUGACUGUGACAACUAAAUGAGAUCACGCAUCUAAAGCACAGCUCUAGGGCCCUGAAACUUAAUCAGGUAGCUUUGAAAUAUUAGCCCUAAAAGAGAAAAGCACGCUGCUAAGA
Long non-coding RNA from Bos taurus (domestic cattle), 10544 nucleotides. NCBI's taxonomy places the organism in Eukaryota, Metazoa, Chordata, Mammalia, Artiodactyla, Bovidae. The record is from Ensembl.